GACGAACGCUGGCGGCGUGCUUACACAUGCAAGUCGAACGGUGAAGGUGGAGCUUGCUCCGCCGGAUCAGUGGCGAACGGGUGAGUAACACGUGGGCAACCUGCCCCUAACUUUGGGAUAACUACUCGAAAGAGUAGCUAAUACCGGAUAUGAAGUCUGUAGGCAUCUAUGGAUUUGGAAAGUUUUUCGGUUAGGGAUGGGCCCGCGGCCUAUCAGCUUGUUGGGGAGGUAGUGGCUCACCAAGGCGACGACGGGUAGCCGGCCUGAGAGGGGGACCGGCAACACUGGGACUGAGACACGGCCCAGACUCCUACGGGAGGCAGCAGUGGGGAAUAUUGCGCAAUGGGCGAAAGCCUGACGCAGCAACGCCGCGUGCGGGAUGAAGGCCUUCGGGUUGUAAACCGCUUUCAGCAGGGAAGAAGCGAAAGUGACGGUACCUGCAGAAGAAGCACCGGCUAACUACGUGCCAGCAGCCGCAGUAA
This 482-nucleotide ribosomal RNA is filed under the name uncultured bacterium. Its description in RNAcentral is "partial 16S ribosomal RNA". It matches the Rfam family "Bacterial small subunit ribosomal RNA", at positions 28 to 523 of the family's 1533-position model. The record is from RNAcentral.